GACGCUUUCUCCUUGAUCUGGUCCAUGUCCAUGUUCUGUAGGUUCUGUAUCUGGCCCAGGAUAGAAUCCUUCUCUUCCUCCUCUGUGGCGUCCUCGUCCACCAUUUUGAGUAGUUCUUCUGGCACGUCGAUGUCGUCUCCUGCCGACUCCAUCAGCAUACAGCAGUUCCUGUCUUUACUGAGGGGAUUUAUGUCCAACAGCGAACACUUCAAACAACAGCUUCAUUUAGCAUCACAUGUGACCCUCUAGGACCCUGCAAGAGAGGGAGACUCCCUGCAUAGCCUGUGAGACAGAUGGCAUACAGACACACGCACAAACACAGGGCAUGUUGGGUCUUGGGCUCAAAUGUGAGAUAUCUGCGAUCAGUCUUUUUUUUAUGCCUUAAUCUUGUGACUGUACUUAGGCAUAUCUGACUAGCAGGCCUUAGACUCCUGUACAUGUACUGAGUCACUCUGACACUGAUCGACACAGCCUCCGCAUCAUGUUACUAAUUUAUGAUAGUGUUCUCAUUUACAGAGAAAAUAUGUAAGAUUAUCACCUUAUGUUAUUCAUAGAAAAGGGAAAAUUAUAUACAAAUAAAAUAUAUAAAGGCAAGUGUUUGUCCCAUGUUUAAUGAGCUGAAAUAAAAGAUCUCAGAAAUGUUC
Molecule: long non-coding RNA, 644 nt
Organism: Oncorhynchus keta (chum salmon)
Lineage: Eukaryota; Metazoa; Chordata; Actinopteri; Salmoniformes; Salmonidae
Exons: 2
Source: RefSeq, a predicted model, not a curated record